GACGACGCAACGCCGCGUGGAGGAUGAAGGUCUUCGGAUUGUAAACUCCUCGUUGCCCGGGACGAAUGGCUCCAACCUAACACGUUGGAGUGUGACGGUACCGGGUGAGGAAGCCCCGGCUGACUCUGUGCCAGCAGCCGCGGUAAUACAGAGGGGGCAAGCGUUGUUCGGAAUUACUGGGCGUAAAGGGCGCGUAGGCGGCCUUCUAAGUCGAACGUGAAAUCCCCGGGCUCAACCCGGGGACUGCGUCCGAUACUGGAAGGCUUGAAUCCGGGAGAGGGAUGCGGAAUUCCAGGUGUAGCGGUGAAAUGCGUAGAUAUCUGGAGGAACACCGGUGGCGAAGGCGGCAUCCUGGACCGGUAUUGACGCUGAGGCGCGAAAGCCAGGGGAGCAAACGGGAUUAGAUACCCCGGUAGUCCUGGCCCUAAACGAUGAAUGCUUGGUGUGGCGGGUAUCGAUCCCUGCCGUGCCGAAGCUAACGCAUUAAGCAUUCCGCCUGGGGAGUACGGUCGCAAGGCUG
RNAcentral lists this ribosomal RNA (520 nucleotides) under uncultured Acidobacteriota bacterium. RNAcentral's name for it is "bacterial SSU rRNA". It matches the Rfam family "Bacterial small subunit ribosomal RNA", at positions 385 to 896 of the family's 1533-position model. Lineage: Bacteria; Pseudomonadati; Acidobacteriota. The record is from RNAcentral.